GAUGAACGCUGGCGGCGUGCCUAAUACAUGCAAGUCGAGCGAACAGACGAGGAGCUUGCUCCUCUGACGUUAGCGGCGGACGGGUGAGUAACGCGUGGAUAACCUACCUAUAAGACUGGGAUAACUUCGGGAAACCGGAGCUAAUACCGGAUAAUAUAUUGAACCGCAUGGUUCAAUAGUGAAAGACGGUUUUGCUGUCACUCAUAGAUGGAUCCGCGCCGCAUUAGCUAGUUGGUAAGGUAACGGCUUACCAAGGCAACGAUGCGUAGCUGACCUGAGAGGGUGAUCGGCCACACUGGAACUGAGACACGGUCCAGACUCCUACGGGAGGCAGCAGUAGGGAAUCUUCCGCAAUGGGCGAAAGCCUGACGGAGCAACGCCGCGUGAGUGAUGAAGGUCUUCGGAUCGUAAAACUCUGUUAUUAGGGAAGAACAAAUGUGUAAGUAACUAUGCACGUCUUGACGGUACCUAAUCAGAAAGCCACGGCUAACUACGUG
This 497-nucleotide ribosomal RNA is filed under the name uncultured bacterium. Its description in RNAcentral is "partial 16S ribosomal RNA". It matches the Rfam family "Bacterial small subunit ribosomal RNA", at positions 28 to 507 of the family's 1533-position model. The record is from RNAcentral.